This 224-nucleotide ribosomal RNA is filed under the name uncultured bacterium. RNAcentral describes it as "partial 16S ribosomal RNA". It matches the Rfam family "Bacterial small subunit ribosomal RNA", at positions 524 to 746 of the family's 1533-position model. The record is from RNAcentral.
GACAGAGGUCCCGAGCGUUAGGCGGAAUCACUGGGCUUAAAGCGUGUGUAGGCGGCGGCCUAAGUACCUUGUGAAAUCCCACGGCUCACCCGUGGAACUGCUCGGUAUACUGGGUCGCUUGAGCCACUUAGGGGCUACCGGAACAAAUGGUGGAGCGGUGAAAUGCGUAGAUAUCGUCUGGAACGCCAAAGGUGAAAACAGACUGCUGGGAGUGAUGCUGACGC